GUCCAAGGGGGUUGGUAGAAGAGUGGUCUAUACCGUUGGUUUUCGACUGCUACGACCCGGGAUCGAAUCCCGUAUUGGACA
Non-coding RNA from Cordylochernes scorpioides, 81 nucleotides. The record is from the annotation of a GenBank genome assembly. NCBI's taxonomy places the organism in Eukaryota, Metazoa, Arthropoda, Arachnida, Pseudoscorpiones, Chernetidae.